This is a long non-coding RNA of Spinacia oleracea (spinach), 2885 nucleotides long. RefSeq lists it as uncharacterized. The record is from RefSeq and is a predicted model, not a curated record. The transcript is spliced from 10 exons. NCBI's taxonomy places the organism in Eukaryota, Viridiplantae, Streptophyta, Magnoliopsida, Caryophyllales, Amaranthaceae.
UUCCCUUCCUCUUUUCUUUUUGGGGUUGCCUUCUUCUCUUCGCCCUCUUGGCCCCUCCAUUUCUGAUCUUCCUUUCCCUUUCCAGUUUAGUGUUUUGUUUUGCGUUUGUUGUACAUUGUCUUCAACAGAGCCGUAGUAAGGUUUUCAUUAACACCUUAGAGGAUUCUAAUGCAAAAUCCAAUUGACGACAAUCAAUUGGGCUUUGGAAUCCUCUAAGGUUUUAUCGGAAGUCUUAGAUUCCUAAUCAGAUAUGCAAUAAUUGUUCCGGCGACUUUGACAGAUUUAAUAAUCAUUAAAGAGUAAUCAGGAUCAUGAGCACAUAUAAUACAAACAUUGAGGAAUACAAACACAAGGAAAACAGAUUCAACCCUCACUUACCAAUUCAUUGUUGCCCAGUUUCUCACUAAUCGUCCCAGGGUUUCAUCUCGCGUCAAAGAUAGCUUGAUGAAGAGUGAGAUUACAGAGUUUACACAAUACAACAAUUCUCGAGGGCAAGAAGUUGCUGAAUUGGUCAGUCGUCGAUGAAGCAGUUUUUGUUAUGUACCCUGAUACAUGAAAACGCUUCGUCUCUUUUGCGGUGAUACUUUUCUAAUCAAGUCAGAUUAGAAGACAUGUUGAACAAACGGGCCUUCAUAUUGCAGUCACCCAAUAGAAGUAGGCAUUUGUGGUCCUGAAGGGUUUCUUUUGCUUUGGGGAGCCAUCACUGAGAUCUGGUACAAGAAGAUGAAGUUUCCUUCAUUUUGAAUCUCUACCCUGAAUCCCUGAUGGAUAUUCAGCCGGAAAGCGCACAAAGAAUUACAUUGGGAUUCAUGUUGGUUUUCAAGAAGGUUCAAAGAUGUUACAUCCUUAUGAUCGAACCUCUAAGGGUUUCUUCACUUUUCCUGAUUUUGAUGAGCAAAAAGUGUCACUAGAUCUUGAUGCAGAUGGACUCUUGGGCAGUGUUGAGGGAAAAUAUGGUAUCUUGCGCUUAGUUCCCUAAACAUUCUUUCAAAUUCCCCUCACCCCGACUAAGCUGAUGAGAUAGACUAAAAUACUUGUUCGUUCUAAAACUCAGUUUUCCCUCCUUGUUUUAUGUAUAAUCCAACUGAAAUAAAAUGGCUGCCUCAUCUUGUAAUUUAAAGCUGUCCUUGGAAGCUUUGGUCUCGGCUCAACAGAUUCAUUGCUGAUCGUUAUUCCUCAAAUCAUACGGUGUUUGAAUAUCACGUGUACGAGUUCUUUAGGGUAUGUCAUGAGGUGUCAAAUGUUUUCUUUGUUUCUUGCUAUUUAUGUGUUAAAAUAUGCAAAUAGUAUUGAUGUCAUGUACUAAAUGUCUUGCCUUUUGUUAUCUUCUUGCUUAACGUAUUCUUAUUUCUACUGAUAAUUAGGUUCAAAAUCACAAUGCUUUUGUGCUUUUCGGUGGUCUAAAUAUAGGGGUAAACUUCCUCAAAGUUAAAAUCCAAAAGUUAGUUGAAAGAAAAGCCUGAAUCAUGAUCAGUUUUUGAUAUGUAUAAUUAUUAGUCCCAACAUGCUGAAUAGCAGUGAUUAGUCUACAUAAGUGACCUGUCUCGGGUCCUUGAGAAUUCGGCUUAUUUGAUCUUUUUCUUCCAAUCUGAAAUUUAAGUUGUUUUAGCUUAUUCCAGUCAAUCCAGAUUACCUUAAAUCACAAAAUUUAACCAACUUCUCAAUAUGGAUGAAAUAUGCUAAAAUUACUUGUGUAAUAGCCCGAGUUAUAAGUUGGUGUUAUUAAUGGCCAAGUAUUAUUAGCUAAACCUUUUUAAAAAAAGUAAGAUUAUGGUUACAAAUUUUACUUAAGACAUUUUAAUGAUUGGAUUUAAAUGACCAAAAUACCCUUAUUUUCUUAGCUUAAUCACUCAAUUUCCUCUUCCUCGUGUCAUGCAAAGGAUUUCCAUGAAACAUGUAUUGUUGUCAUUACUACCAAUCACCAAAAGAUGAUUAUGUACAUGUGUCCAAUUUGUAUUUUCUCUCAAUUUGAUUAGAGGGUUAGUUGGCAAUUAUUUGAUAUCCUUAAAUUUAGUUUUCUCAUCUCCUCUAAUGUGUGCAUGAUACAUAUUAGUGUCGUCCAAUCUUCGCACCAAAAAAAAACUCAAAGAGGAACCCAAAAGUCCCACCUCACUCUCACUAAUAUUCUCUCCUCUAUUAUCGUCGCUUUUUUCAUCCAUUAUCUCCAGCAUUGAAACGUUUUUAGCCAUUACUUCCUUCAUGAAAGUUAUAGCCCUUGGAAAAUUAACCAAUUUAGGCUCAAGAAUUACUUAAUUCAGAACCUUGAGCUAGGAGAUAUGGUCUUCCGAAACUCACAGUUGUUGCUGCCAACGUGUUGUUGCUAUUGCUCUUUCUUCCUUGAUUUUUCUCACUUCCACCGCUUCUUAAUUGCGUUGUUAGCUUCUCAUUUGAAAGGUAUCAUUAUUGGCCUAAACUUUAUUUUUUUAGUUGUGUUUAAAAAGUUUGAAUUUCAGUUUUAGUAAGCAACUAAAGUAGUAUUUAACGAUGAGUUUCUUGUUUCGGUAAUUGUGAGUCAAGUUAUUGAUUUUAGUAUUAUUUUUGUGAGGUAAUAUAUGGAGAUUGAUUGAGGAGUUCAAUACAAGUCAAAUUGGUGAUCAAAUUAUGGGUUAUUAUUGGAGAUAAGAGUUAAUCGAUCUUGGAGGUUAUUAAGGAUUUUGCUUACUGAAUUGAGGUUGUGUGGAAGCUCAGGUGGGAGUCAAAUGAAGCUUGGUUGUAUUUAAGGGUUUGUAAAUUGUGUGUUACAAAACUAAGGUUCUAUUCAUGUGUGAAAUAGUUUCUGAAUUGUUUGUAAGUUUGAAUGUGAAUUAAAGGUUUAUAUUUAUUUUAAAGAUUAUUCAUUCAAGGUUAUAUAAAGUUAUUUUGUGGGCCCAUAACCCACAGGUCCA